Molecule: long non-coding RNA, 348 nt
Organism: Frieseomelitta varia
Lineage: Eukaryota; Metazoa; Arthropoda; Insecta; Hymenoptera; Apidae
Exons: 3
Source: RefSeq, a predicted model, not a curated record
UUUUGGAACGCACGUAAACGAUGUGUAUGCAAGUGGAGAUGCUUUACCAUCAACUCGAUGACUUAAUUUCAAUUUAAAUAUUGAAGCGGACGAACUUAAGAAGACACCUAGAAGACAUCUCGUGGGUUGACCCAGUUUCUCCCAUGAACGUGUAUUCCAUUGACCCAGGAUCGUUGCCAGGCAACAGCACACCAUGGACUUUGGACACUUUGGCAGAAGUGCAACAAUUUUAACCCUCAAGGAGGAUCUUUCGUUUCGAUAGGUUGAGGAACUCCGCGAGGGUGGAGAGAACGAGAAUAGAAGAGCGUAUGAAGCGUCUACUCUGAUUCACUUCUCAGUCGAAGGCAC